AAAGCUCAGAUAAAAAAGCCGACGGAAACUCUGCGAGUGCUCCGCUGGUGUGGUGGUGCUCGACUAGAGUAGAAGGGAAUCCCCUCUCUCAUCGCCCCCGCCCCGUCUCCCCCGACCGAAACUUCUCCUCCGCUCCGCCACGCCCUCUCACCCCGGUCUAAUUGAAGCGCCAAACGGGCGCGCGCCAUUUGAAUUCCCCGCGAGCUUCCGCCUCCAGCGCCUCCUCAGGCCUCGCCGGGGUGGCCCCUCUGCCGCCCGCCUAGGGUUUCGCUCCGGGCCUCCUUCGCGCGGCCAUAUGGGGGACGCCGCGGCGGCGUCGCCCCG
This 324-nucleotide long non-coding RNA is filed under the name Hordeum vulgare. RNAcentral describes it as "long non-coding RNA (HVUL_LNC016617)". The record is from RNAcentral. Lineage: Eukaryota; Viridiplantae; Streptophyta; Magnoliopsida; Poales; Poaceae.